AACAGGAUGGUCUCCGGAGCCUGGGAUUCUCGGAGGGUCGACCACCAGGAAGAAACCUCAGAAGGAAGAAACCUCAGGCGGAUCGCCGGGGCGGCAGCGCGAGAGCCCAGCCUCAGGCCUGGAUUCGGGGAGGGUCGAGGAGGGCCCUCUCCCAAUCUUCACUUCACACGCCGCCGUCCCAGUCCCCGCAGCCGCCGCUCCGCGGUCAUUUUUCUUUUCUUUCUUUUUCUUUUUUUAUAGUCGGAGUCUCACUCUGUCACUCAGUCGAGUUCAGUGGCGGGAUCUCAGCUGACUGCAAACUCUGCCGCCCGGGUUCAAGUGAUUCUCUUGCCUCCGCCUCCCGAGUACCUGAGACUAGAGGGAUUAGUCAGAGUCGGGACUAAGACCAGUCCUGGCCAGGGCAUCAACAGGAUAGUCUCUGGAGGCCGGGAUUCACGGAGGGUCGUCCAGGAGGAAGAAACUGCGGGCGGAGGGCCAGGGAAGCAGCGCGGGAUCCCAGCCUCUGGCCUGCACGGACGGUGUGCCAGUGAGUCUCUUCAAAAAAGGAGAGGUUUGCUUGUGUGCCCGUGGGCUGCUCUCUCACCAGUGGGUUGUAGUCGUGGAGAGCAGAACCCUGAAAAUUCAGGGGCUGCCUGGGGGUAGCUGUUACCGUGCCACUGCUGUAUGUCUUUGUGCGUUUGUGUGUGUGCGUAUGUCUCUCUCUUGUUUCUCUCUCCCCUUUCUCGCUCUUUAGUUCUGUGUCCGUGUGUGUGUGUGUGUGUGUGUGUGUGUGUGUGUGUGUGUGUGUGUUGGGACACAUGUGCCCUGUGCGCCAGAGGGCGGUAUCUUCUACGUCCACCUUUCCUGUGGUCAGCCUCUCCCCGCGUCUCUGCCUGGCUUGUGUGGCCCGUUGUCAGUCAUUUUUCUGGCGGUUCCAGUUUAGGUUUGUGAAGGUCCAGAUGAGGUGGGGAGCUGCGUCUCUCUUGUAAGAAUUUAAAUCACCUCCCCACCCUGAGAGGCCUCUUUUCUAGGAUUAAGUCCUCACCCCCCAGCCAAGGAUAAUAGCCUCACCGGAGAGAUCAUUGUCUACCUGCAAGAACAGUGCAGAGCGACCUGAAAGAAGAUGGUUCUCAUUCGUCUCUCUCUUUCAUCUCCUUGAAAUAUCUAGCCACAGGGUAACAGGUUUUGAGAGGAUGGGAACGGAACGUGGCAAGGAUCUGUGAGUGUGCAGGCUGUGUUUCACAUAUCAUUAAACAUAGUCUAGUGAGGGUUCUGCAGAUAGCUGGCGUUUAAAGUUUGUUUUAUUGAAUCAAGGAAAAGAAAAAAUGCUGAGAAAAAAAUGACACAACUUGCCUGCCAGCCCAUCUGACUGUUACAAAUUUAAUUGUAAUUUUAAUUUAUCUUCUCAUGUAAAGGUCCUUGGCAGUGAUACCUAAUUUCCUAAGAUAGCCUUGCUUUAUAUUGUAUGAUUAAGAUGUCAUGCAUAUCAGACUAUCUGGAAAUUCUUCCCAACGUCCUUGACAUACGUGAUUAAUCACAUUUCCAAAAUAACAUACCAAAACGAAUAACAGAAAAUCAUUUUAAGUUGUGGUUCCUUCAUGCACAAAACAUUUCAUGUGUGUCUGGCACUCUUCCGGCCACAGAUUUCAUCUUAACCUAAGUAUUGAAAUGCUUGUGCCCUUUGAUUAAUUUUUCUAUGUAAAUACUUUGAUAAUAAGCUACAUUGAGGCCGGGUGCAGUGGCUCACACCUCUAAUCCCAGUUCUUUGGGAGGCUGAGGCCAGCAGAUCACGAAGUCAGGAGAUCAAGACCAUCCUGGCCAACAUGGUGAAACCCCGUCUCUUCAAAUAUACAAAGAAUUAGCCAGAGAAGCAGGGAAUCUGGAAUUUUGGGUGAAAUAUCUGUUUCCAGAAGCUGAAAGUGCUCUCAAAUGGAAACUUCAGGGUCAGAAUGGCCUGGGGUACUGCACACUUCCUACCAGGAAUAGAAGGCCCCACAGCUAUAGCACCUCUCUUCCCUUUAGUUCUUUGGAAGGAUGAGCAAAAUUAUUCAGCCUCUCUGAGCCUCAGUUUUCUCAUCCAUAAAAUGAGGACAGUACACCAACCUCGCAGGUCACAAGGAUGUUAUGGAAUCAGAGAAACUCCCUGGCUCCAGGCAGGGCUUGCUCCCCUCACUGCAGCAGGAAGCCCAGCUUGCGAACUGCAGGUGUGCUCCAGGUGGUCGCUGGAUGCAGGGUAUUGACAGAUGGAUCCCAUCAAUACCCCCACUGCAUAACCAUAGUGCAGUGAAUAGAAGACACUUCUCUGCACCCCAAAAGCUCCAUGCUGAUUGCAAGAAGGAAAUGCUGGAUGGAGGGGUUCCUGGAACUACUGUGAGGGAAAUGGUGAGAGAACUUUGGAUGUGGAAUGUGGAGUAGGAGGAACACGAAGUGGGGAUCUGCACUUGGGGUGGUCAGCACUGCGGAUGCCCAGCAAAGGCACUGCCUGGUCCACAUCCCGGAGUGGUCUCUGCGCCCGAGUCGACAUCGCAGCUGAUGGUGAAACUUUUGGUGUGGCAGAAGAGUGUCCACAAACUUUGGAAGGUAUCCGUUGCCUCCUCCAUAGCCGUGUAUCCCUGCCGAGGGCGAUCAUCUCGGGGAGCCGAAAGUCCGGCUCAUGGGCCAGGGCUGGCUGGCUGGAGCCACUUGCGCGGCGCAGCCCUGGCGGAGGUUCAGGCGGCCCCGGUGUCGCAAGCGGCUGUGAGUGAUGCCUCCUUGGUGCCGGAGGGGUCCCAGGAAGUCUGCAGACCAGGGCUGACCAGCGGGCAGCAUGGUGGCCGCGAUGGAAGGUGACGGGGUUCGCAGCGCCAGGGGACCCAGCAGAGCCAGAGCCCGGGCAUCCCGCAUCUCCAGCAGCACCGCGGGAAGGCCUGGCGCUGGUGACGUGGCGGCCAGUGCACAAGGCCCACGACCCAGUCCCAGAGGCCAGCCCAUCGUCAGCUAACUUCAGGAACCCCGGGCCAGCUGAGGCCCUGGGCCCCACGGGCAAGACAAAGGGCAGAGGGUCCGCAGGCGGGGCCGAGAGCAGGCAGUGCAGGCCUGGCUCCACAACCGCGGAGCUCGCAGGGCGCAGCAGGCACCGGGCAGCAACCAGGGCUUCCAGAGGAGGCUGUGCACCCCCGCAAAGGCUCCUGCCCGGCGUCCAGCCUAUCCGCGGGGACUCCACGUGCACCCCCUCCUCAUUGUCCUUGUCUAGGGCCGCAGCAAGGUCCUCGCUCCCAUGGCGUGACUCCGGUGACGCAGGAGCCUGGGCUGAGCAGGUGGAGUAGGGUGAGCACCGCCAAGAACCCAGCGAGAGUGGCGCCCCAGGGCGGCACAGGAGGCCUCAUUUAACGUAUAAAUCAUCUCAAAGAUUUUAUGGCAUCUUCUUUCUUUUGACAUCUUAUAAUAUCUAUAAUGUCUAUUAUAUCUUGUGAUAUAAUUAUUAACACCACUUCAUUGUGAUUAUUAUGAUUAUUUUUAUACCAACACAUCUUCGAUUAUUAAUAUUCCCAGUUGCUAGAGAAAAAUGAAAACGACUAGUUUUGAAAGCCUUACUUCUGCCAAUGGAAGCACAUUCCAGCAUGUCGCCAACGCAAUCCACUUUCCACCACUUUCACAAGAAACGUUACUGCACAAUUUUACUAUCCUACCCUUAUAUACUUUUUGUGUGUGUGUGUACUUGUAUGUAUGUAUGUUACAUAUGUAAUAUAUAUAUAUAUAUAAAGUAUGCCAGAGAUGAACAAGUAUUAGAAAAUCAAAUGCACACAGGUCAUGUCAGUGCUAUGUAUAAUGUGGUGUACUAAGUAUAGAUGUUCAACAGUGUGGGAUCCAGGCCAGAACAAGACUCCUAGUCUUAAGCAAUUCUUUCUAGGUUCAGUCUCUGGAAAUAAUGCUUUGUAUCAAAUGUGCGAGAAAAUUAAUGGGUUUUAAAGACUAUUCUAUGUCAACUAUAACAUUUCAUUUGGGGAUUUCUGUCCCUUAUAAUAUCUACUUCAUUUUGGAUGGAUUCCUUGAGGCCUGGUUUAUUUUUCUUUUCCUUUCUAUACAUCGCUGCUCAGAGUGAUGAAUGGAGUUGUAUUUUGAAUAAAAUAUCUAAGCAUC
Molecule: long non-coding RNA, 4098 nt
Organism: Pan troglodytes (chimpanzee)
Lineage: Eukaryota; Metazoa; Chordata; Mammalia; Primates; Hominidae
Exons: 6
Source: RefSeq, a predicted model, not a curated record